UUAAUUUUAAUCCUAUCCCAAGAAAAAUAUCAAUUUUUCUAAUUUAUUUUGUCAGUUUAAAUAUCUUUAAAAUUUCCUAAGCCGCUCCUGUUCGAAAUAUUUCAGAAUAUUUUCGCAACAAAGUAAAAUCAUAGGAAAGUUCCUAUUUAUUUGAGUAGCAUUUACCAACUAUGUAGAUAGUUAUUGUGAAAUCAUUCAUUAUUCGAGAAUGAAUCCUCUAAAAGGUUCAGUGUUUUUCCUUUAAGUUUUGAGCGCUAAAAAUCCCAUGUUAUUAUUGGUCUGCAUUUUGAAAGAUCCUUGAGUUGUAGUUGACGAUUGGUCAAUAGUUUUGGCCGAACGAUCGAGAAGAAAUGCAUCGUUUGGACGCGAGAGAGACGUGACGAUGUAAAGCCAGUUCUAAAAGUACAUCACUUCAGUAAACAUCUUUUUGUUAGAACUCAACCAACAGACUCGCAGAAAGUCGCACUUUGCCGGCCAAAAUGGUUUUAUUUUUAUGGUAAAAGAAGUGAAAGACUGGCAGUUUGCCCAGUAAAUGUCAACGAAUAUAAUGACAAUAGUUUCACGGCAUUUUAAUGGAUAUAUUAUUGUGAAAUAGUUCUAUUGUUAUGCAGUUUGGUUUGCCGGUGGUAAUAAAAAAGAAGUGCGUGGUUUCCUGGUUCCUGUCCUUUAUGUAGCUGUUGCUAUUUUUAUGAUAUAUGGAUUUGUUCAUGUUCCAGUAAGAAAUGCCCGGAUGAUAUUAUUUGGUAUCGAUUUUAUCCAGUUUAGUAAUGAUUUGAAUAUCUUCCCUCCCUCCAAUCUCGAAUGGAAAAUUUUGAAGUUCCAAGUGUUGUGACAUGGAUUUUUGUUUUAACAAGGUAUGAUAAUGUUUAUUUUAAAUAAUUCACAAGUGGAUAUUAUUGGUAAAGGUUUUACAUAAUUAAAAAUGUUUGUUUUCAACAUGGAAAAUAUAUUAUGUAAAGUAAAUAUUAGAUGGCAGUGACAUUUGACAGCCAUGUCAAAUUUUUGUUUUGGUACACUGCUAAAAAUAAGGUUAAAAAUUGUAAAAUCAUGUAUUUUGUUAUUAUUAUUCAUUUCUGGUUUGAGAAUGUGUCUAUUCUCAAUAAAAAUAAAAAGGUAUUAAGGUUUAAAUAAACAUUAUAAAAUGUA
Molecule: long non-coding RNA, 1146 nt
Filed under: Diabrotica virgifera virgifera (western corn rootworm)
Lineage: Eukaryota; Metazoa; Arthropoda; Insecta; Coleoptera; Chrysomelidae
Description: uncharacterized LOC126879005
Source: RNAcentral